CCUACGGGUGGCAGCAGUGGGGAAUAUUGCACAAUGGGGGAAACCCUGAUCCAGCGACGCCGCGUGAGUGAAGAAGUAUCUCGGUACGUAAAGCUCUGUCAGCAGAGAAGAACAUGACGGUACGUGAAUAAGAAUCCCCUGCUAACUACUUACGAGCAGCCGCGGGCAUACGUCGUGGGCAAGCGGUAUCUGGAUUGACUGGAGGUUAUGGGAGGGUUGACGGAAGCACAAGUUUGGAGUGAAAUACCGGGGGGUAACCCGGGGACUGCUUUGGAAACUGUGCGGCUGGAGUGCAGGAGGGGUCAGCGGAAUUCCUAGUGUAGCGGUGAAAUGCGUAGAUAUUAGGAGGAACACCGGUGGCGAAGGCGGCUUACUGGACUGUAACUGACGUUGAGGCUCGAAAGCGUGGGGAGCAAACAGGAUUAGAUACCCGGGUAGUC
Molecule: ribosomal RNA, 440 nt
Filed under: uncultured bacterium
Lineage: Bacteria
Description: partial 16S ribosomal RNA
Rfam family: Bacterial small subunit ribosomal RNA
Source: RNAcentral